UCUAAAAACUGAUGCUGUUUGAUUUUUUAUUGAUGACUUUGAAAAUAAAGUUGCAUUGUUUCUAUGACAAUCUAAACUACCUCCUCCCUUAAGUUUUCUCUCAUUGUUACCCAAAUAAUAGACUAUCCCUGUUUAUAAAACGUUUGGCCUAACAAGUAAAUAAUGUCUCAAAAAAGCCGCGUGGACACUUCCCAUCCAUUGUUCGGAUAGUUUUAAGAAACGGUCAUUUACAGUCGCCUAUAUUUUCAAAAACACUGAUUGUGUAAAUAUCGAAAUUAGAUAUGAAAUGAGCUACGUGGUCCUGAUUGUCAGAAACAUUACGUUUUUAUUUUAGGACCAUCACAGGCAUCUGUCACAUGCCAGGACACAUUCAAUGACCACAGCGGUCAAAUGAUGUCACACAGAAAUCAAGUUAUACAAUUUUGAAAUAAACCUUUUCCCAAUCUAAAAAUUAGACCUUGAGAUUAUGAAUGUAUAGCCUACUGAUCAGUACUGAUCAUCAGCAGAUCAGUAAACAUGUAUAAUGGUAGUUGUAGCACUUUGAACAGGAAUAACUUUAACUCCCCAAAUUAAGUCAGUGAGUGACCUCAUUGUUAGAGGCAGUAGGGGAUUGGACAGACCUCCUAUGCUUGCUUGAUUGCUUGAUUGAAGCCUGCACCUUGUUAAGACUGCAUGGAGCUCCAGCAGUAAGGGACAGAGACAGUUUGUGCUGUUUAGUGUGGGAAGUUUCAGAAGUUCCUUGUGUGCGUUUAAUGCAAAUCUGCUAUUUUCCUGACUUGCUGGCCCUGACUGAAUGCCUUGUAGUGCUUAAGACUGCAGCUCCACACAACUGCCUGUCUGCACUGUGAAGGUGCACACUUCCCAUUAGGACUGUGCGUAGUAAAUGGAUCUCAGAUGCUUAUCAAUUGUUCAAGAAAAUUAUUGGGACUUCUGACCAGAAUAGGGAUGCAGUGGCCCACUUUUGAAGCAAGACCCCUGCCUUGUGCUGCCAAGCACACACCUGAGAGGCGAGUGAUCCCAGUACCAGCCCCAUGUGAGAGUUAGUCAUGGCAAUAAUUGUGAGACACAUGACAACUAAAGUGUUGUGUGGGAGAAAAGGCAUCCUUUUUAUACAACUGCCAAACACGGUAUGAAGGAAACAUAAUUGCCACCUUGGAUAAUGUUGAGUGGCAGUGUUUUUCUGAGUGAAGGAAGUACUACGUUUGUAUUAUGCAUGCAAGUUGUAGGUAAAUGAUUGGAGUGGAUGGUAAGCAUCCCAACCCAGGACUUUGACACCAGGACAGUGGUUCACAUCAAUCAUAAGUGCCACAAGGUUUUAGAUUCAGGCAACAAAAGCACAUUGGUUAAGGUUAGGGAAUGAAGCUGGUUUUGGUUAAAUGUAAACAAAGUAAAAACUGCAAUUCUUGUGGUUCAAGUUUUUUUCUUGCCAUUUUCCAUCCAUCCACCAGAUGCUCUCGGACUUUCCCUCCUUUCCCCAUCACCUAACUGCCCCACCCAUCUGCACACCUGUUCCCACUUCUCUCAUCUCUCUCUCUCUCUCUCUCUCUCUCUCUCUCUCUCUCUCAUUCAUACAUAUCUAUCUCUCUCUCUCUCUCCCCUUUUGUUCCUCUUUCAGUUCAUCAAAGUUGCAACGUGGUUUUCUGUCAUCGAUUUUGAGUCUCUGUUACCUGCCUCCCUGGGCCUAAUCUGGACUCCUGACUUUUUGCCUGCUUCCAGCCUGAUCAAGUCUGCCCUCCUGCGUGUUAGCCUAUGUAUGUACAGUAUAUGUAUACCUACUUUGGCAAUAAAUUAUUGAACUGA
Molecule: long non-coding RNA, 1800 nt
Organism: Perca fluviatilis (European perch)
Lineage: Eukaryota; Metazoa; Chordata; Actinopteri; Perciformes; Percidae
Exons: 4
Source: RefSeq, a predicted model, not a curated record